UAAGGAAUAUUGGACAAUGGUCGCAAGACUGAUCCAGCCAUGCCGCGUGCAGGAAGACGGCCCUAUGGGUUGUAAACUGCUUUUGUACCAGAGAAAACCUAUCUACGUGUAGAUAGCUGAUAGUAUGGUAAGAAUAAGCAUCGGCUAACUUCGUGCCAGCAGCCGCGGUAAGACGAAGGAUGCAAGCGUUAUCCGGAUUCAUUGGGUUUAAAGGGUGCGUAGGCGGGCUUGUAAGUCAGUGGUGAAAUCUCUCAGCUUAACUGAGAAACUGCCAUUGAUACUGCAGGCCUAGAGUAUAGAUGACGUUGGCGGAAUAUGACAUGUAGUGGUGAAAUACUUAGAUAUGUCAUAGAACACCGAUUGCGAAGGCAGCUAACGAAACUAUAACUGACGCUGAGGCACGAAAGUGCGGGGAUCAAAC
Molecule: ribosomal RNA, 421 nt
Filed under: uncultured bacterium
Lineage: Bacteria
Description: bacterial SSU rRNA
Rfam family: Bacterial small subunit ribosomal RNA
Source: RNAcentral